This 455-nucleotide non-coding RNA is filed under the name Gasterosteus aculeatus (three-spined stickleback). Its description in RNAcentral is "Eukaryotic large subunit ribosomal RNA". It matches the Rfam family "Eukaryotic large subunit ribosomal RNA", at positions 1456 to 1888 of the family's 3401-position model. The record is from Rfam by way of RNAcentral. Lineage: Eukaryota; Metazoa; Chordata; Actinopteri; Perciformes; Gasterosteidae.
GGUAGUAGCAAAUAUUCAAACGAGAGCUUUGAAGGCCGAAGUGGAGAAGGGUUCCAUGUGAACAGCAGUUAAACAUAGGACCGACUGACCCAAGAGAUGGGCGAACACCGUUCGGAAGGGCGGGGCCAUGGCCUACGUCGCCCCCGGCAAAUCGAAAGGGAGCUGGGUUCAGAUUCCCGGACCUGGAGUGGCGGAGACAGGCGCCGUGAGGCGAUGCAAACUAUUCCGGAGAAGCUGGCGGGAGCCCCGGGAAGAGUUCUCUUUUCUUUGUGAAGGGCAGGGCGACCUGGAAUGGGUUUGCCCCGAGAGUGGCUCGCGCCCUGGAACGUGCCGCGCCUCUGGCGGCGUCCGGUGAGCUCUCGUCGGCCCUUGAAAAUCCGGAGGAUAGGGUGUAAGUCUCGCGCCAGGCCUUACCCAUAUCCGCAGCAGGUCUCCAAGGUGAACAGCCUCUGGCA